RNAcentral lists this ribosomal RNA (484 nucleotides) under uncultured bacterium. RNAcentral's name for it is "partial 16S ribosomal RNA". It matches the Rfam family "Bacterial small subunit ribosomal RNA", at positions 30 to 507 of the family's 1533-position model. The record is from RNAcentral.
AUUGAACGCUGGCGGCAGGCCUAACACAUGCAAGUCGAGCGGAUGAAGGGAGCUUGCUCCUGGAUUCAGCGGCGGACGGGUGAGUAAUGCCUAGGAAUCUGCCUGGUAGUGGGGGAUAACGUCCGGAAACGGGCGCUAAUACCGCAUACGUCCUGAGGCAGAAGGAUGGGGAGUUUCGGACCUCACGCUAUCAGAUGGGCCUAGGUCGGAUUAGCUAGUUGGUGGGUUAAAGGCCUACCAAGGCGACGAUCCGUAACUGGUCUGAGAGGAUGAUCAGUCACACUGGAACUGAGACACGGUCCAGACUCCUACGGGAGGCAGCAGUGGGGAAUAUUGGACAAUGGGCGAAAGCCUGAUCCAGCCAUGCCGCGUGUGUGAAGAAGGUCUUCGGAUUGUAAAGCACUUUAAGUUGGGAGGAAGGGCAGUAAGUUAAUACCUUGCUGUUUUGACGUUACCAACAGAAUAAGCACCGGCUAACUUCGUG